CCUGAACGCUGGCGGCGUGGUUAAGACAUGCAAGUCGCACGGUGUAGCAAUACACAGUGGCGAACGGGUGAGUAAUGAAUCGCUAAUGUACCCCGGACUCUGGGAUAGCUAGCCGAAAGGUUAGGUAAUACCAGAUGACAUAUUCCUACCGCAUGGUUGGGAAUCUCAAAGGUCCGCCGGUCUGGGAGCAGGCGAUUCCGUAUCAGCUAGUUGGUGAGGUAACGGCNCACCAAGGCGACGACGCGUAGCCGGACUGAGAGGUUGGCCGGCCACAUCGGGACUGAGACACUGCCCGGACUCCGUACGGGGGCUGCAGUAACGAAUCUUCCCCAAUGCACGAAAGUGUGAGGGAGCGACGCCGCGUGUGGG
Molecule: ribosomal RNA, 369 nt
Filed under: uncultured bacterium
Lineage: Bacteria
Description: bacterial SSU rRNA
Rfam family: Bacterial small subunit ribosomal RNA
Source: RNAcentral